CAAAGGCUUGGUCCUGACUUUACUAUCAACUUUAGACAAACUUACACAUGCAAGUAUCCGCACCCCUGUGAGAAUGCCCCACAGUCCCCCGUCCGGGAACAAGGAACUGGUAUCAGGCACAUCAUUAAGCCCAUGACACCUUGCUUAGCCACACCCUCAAGGGAACUCAGCAGUGAUAAACAUUAAGCCAUAAGUGAAAACUUGACUUAGUUAAAGCUAAGAGGGCCGGUAAAACUCGUGCCAGCCACCGCGGUUAUACGAGAGGCCCAAGUUGAUGGACACCGGCGUAAAGAGUGGUUAAGUUAAACCUCAUACUAAAGCCAAACAUCUUCAAGACUGUUAUACGCAACCGAAGGCAGGAAGUUCAACCACGAAAGUGGCUUUAUUUAGUCUGAACCCACGAAAGCUACGGAACAAACUAGGAUUAGAUACCC
Molecule: ribosomal RNA, 434 nt
Filed under: Pleurogrammus monopterygius (Atka mackerel)
Lineage: Eukaryota; Metazoa; Chordata; Actinopteri; Perciformes; Hexagrammidae
Description: partial rRNA
Rfam family: Bacterial small subunit ribosomal RNA
Source: RNAcentral